UCGGAAAUUGUCAAAGUUGUCGACGGGGGGGGGGGUGAAGAUUUAAAAUAUUGUCGUCCGGAAAACUUUUUGGUUUGUCGGAAAAAUUUUUCGGUUUGUCGAAAAGUACUGCCCUUGCCCCCCCCCCAAAAAAAAAACAUGGGUCCCACGGCGCCACUGAUUGUCAUUCUAUUUCCUGUUAAAUAUUUGUUAAAACUCAGUGGUCCCGUAAUUUUUACCGAUUACGUAUGACGUCAUUGACAUCAAUGAAUGUUUUCACGAUUUCAUGUUUGUCAAUAGAGCCCCCCCCC
Paramuricea clavata is the source of this 290-nucleotide non-coding RNA. The record is from the annotation of a GenBank genome assembly. NCBI's taxonomy places the organism in Eukaryota, Metazoa, Cnidaria, Anthozoa, Malacalcyonacea, Plexauridae.